RNAcentral lists this ribosomal RNA (274 nucleotides) under uncultured bacterium. RNAcentral describes it as "partial 16S ribosomal RNA". It matches the Rfam family "Bacterial small subunit ribosomal RNA", at positions 523 to 796 of the family's 1533-position model. The record is from RNAcentral.
AUACGGAGGGCGCAAGCGUUGUUCGGAAUUACUGGGCGUAAAGCGCGCGUAGGCGGUUCGAUAAGUCUGAUGUGAAAGCCCUGGGCUUAACCUGGGAAUGGCAUUGGAUACUGUUGAACUAGAGUGCGGGAGAGGAGAGUGGAAUUCUCGGUGUAGCGGUGAAAUGCGUAGAUAUCGGGAGGAACACCAGUGGCGAAGGCGGCUCUCUGGACUGACACUGACGCUGAGGUGCGAAAGCGCGGGUAGCAAACAGGAUUAGAAACCCGAGUAGUCC